CAGCCUGUCGCUCGGUGGCAGAUCAUCUGCUUUGCAUGUAGAAGGUCCUGGGUUCAGUCCCCAGGCAGGGCUGG
Non-coding RNA from Podarcis lilfordi (Lilford's wall lizard), 74 nucleotides. The record is from the annotation of a GenBank genome assembly. NCBI's taxonomy places the organism in Eukaryota, Metazoa, Chordata, Lepidosauria, Squamata, Lacertidae.